RNAcentral lists this transfer RNA (68 nucleotides) under Ictidomys tridecemlineatus (thirteen-lined ground squirrel). RNAcentral's name for it is "Spermophilus tridecemlineatus (thirteen-lined ground squirrel) tRNA". It matches the Rfam family "tRNA". From Rfam's summary of the family: Transfer RNA (tRNA) molecules are approximately 80 nucleotides in length. Their secondary structure includes four short double-helical elements and three loops (D, anti-codon, and T loops). The record is from Rfam by way of RNAcentral. Lineage: Eukaryota; Metazoa; Chordata; Mammalia; Rodentia; Sciuridae.
GGGGUUGUAGCUUAGUGGUAGAGUGCUUGCCUAGCAUGUAUGAGGCACUGGUUCAAUUCUCAGCACUG